Molecule: non-coding RNA, 204 nt
Organism: Vicia faba (fava bean)
Lineage: Eukaryota; Viridiplantae; Streptophyta; Magnoliopsida; Fabales; Fabaceae
Source: the annotation of a GenBank genome assembly
AUGGAGUCCUGCAGGAUUGCCAUGGUUUUCACCAUCUUCAUUAUGACUAUACUGGUUUUCACUCGCUGUGGUUUUGCAGAGAGUGUAGCUGAAGAUGAUGUUGCUGCAAUUCCACCAACACCAAUGGAAAGCAGGGGAGUACAUAUUGGUGUCUCAUCAACCACACUUGCAUUCAUUGCCUUUGUGGCUACUUGCUUCAUCUAA